Molecule: non-coding RNA, 1077 nt
Organism: Chiloscyllium plagiosum (whitespotted bambooshark)
Lineage: Eukaryota; Metazoa; Chordata; Chondrichthyes; Orectolobiformes; Hemiscylliidae
Source: RefSeq, a predicted model, not a curated record
CCUGAUUGUGCAUCUCCCUGAUUUGACACUGCCUGGAGGGCAGAUUGAAUUAGACUGAAGAGUCAGACAGAGGUGUGUUCCACCUUCAGUGAUGCCCAGCUAACUUCCCUAAUGGGACUUCAAAUAUUCAACCGCAUAUUCUGCAGUGAAGCUUGGAUCUAAAAUGUUUGAUUCAGAGGAUGUCAACCUUGCCCAAGAAGAAGAGGAAGAGACGAAAGAACAGGAACUCAGCAAAAAGGAAAUACUCUACAACUCACACAAUCCUAGCAUCUCAGAAACACGGAAUGUAAUUAAUGCUUGGUUUGAAAGAACUGAAGGUGCAUCAAUACAAACAAUGAAUUCCAUGGAAUUAAGUCUGAGGCCAAGAAUGGUUUCCACCAGCUUUUGGAACUGACCGGGAAACAGAAAGACUUUGGGAAAAUAAUCCUGACCUUGCCAUAAGGUGGUGAAGAAAACCUCCCAAGAGUGAAAUUCCGUUAACUUUGCUACCACAAACUUGAGUUUCUACAUCCACCUCUGCUCAUGAUCCCUGUCUUGCUGCAGGCUGAAGUGAACAAAAAACUACAGCACUCAUUAAUGGGAACAAGAAACUUGACUGUCAAAACCCAAUCUCCCAACAUGUCCUGCAUCACUCCCUGUAGAUGUCAACUUUUAAAUCGUGACUCAGACAUCCAAGCACUUCUAUAAACUCAACAAGAAAUCAAUUAGCAACUGAGCAGAAGUGGUGCUGACCUCUUUAAAUACCACAGAGGGGAUAAGAUGGGGAUUUCCUCCUUGCUGUUGCACACAGCUUCAAGUAGUGUGUGGCUGAAAGAUGGAAUUAGCUGGAGAACUCACAUUAAAAAUUACAUAUUGGCUGAAGUCAGAAUCACCCUACAAGUCAUGCUUCUAGUGGUCUGCUCUGUAUGAUUGUGCCAAUGUGGGCCAUCCUUAUAACUGUAAUUUUGAGACCAAAAGACCAUUUGCAGAACCAAAAAAAGUCUCAUCUUAAAAGUAUGCUUCUGCGAACAAUAUAUGUUUUUGUUUCUACAUUCUGAAAUGUGAACAAGGAAGAGCUGCCCAUCUCACCUUCAUGAA